GAAAGGGCAUACAGUGGAUCUCUUGGUGAAGGUCGUUGAUGAAGGCCGUGGUAAACUGCGAUAAGGUGCGGUGAGGAGCAAACAUCCUGUGAUCCGCACAUUGCCGAAUGGGGAAAACCGCCCCGAUGCAAAUCGGGGCACUAUGAUAUGAAUACAUAGUAUCAUAGGAAUAACCCAGGGAAGUGAAACAUCUCAGUACCUGGAGGAAAAGAAAUCGAAAGAGAUUCCCUUAGUAGUGGCGAGCGAACAGGGAAGAGCCUAAACUUGUCCCGAUGCAAAUCGGGAUGAGGGUUGUAGGGUUUUAACAGUCCCGCUUCGGUGGGACAGGAAGUUACAAAUGGAGUCUAUAGUUGAAUGGUCCUGGAAUGGCCAACCAUAGAUGGUGAAAGUCCAGUAGAUAAAAUAGAUUUCACUUCCUCGUUAGAAUUCCUGAGUAUCAUUGAACACGUGAAAUUCAGUGAGAAUCCGCCCGGACCAUCGGGCAAGGCUAAAUACGAACCUUCAACCGAUAGUGAACAAGUACCGUGAGGGAAAGAUGAAAAGAACCCCUGAUGGGGAGUGAAAUAGAACAUGAAACUGUAUGUCUACAAGCAGUCAAAGCACUAUGUCCUGAUUCCGAGCAAUCGGGAGAAGGAAAUGUGCGAUGGCGUGCCUGUUGAAGAAUGAUCCGGCGAGUUACUUUAACGACCAAGUUUAAGUCCGGACUGAAUAGGUCCGGAUGAAACGUAGGGAAACCGAGUCUUAAUAGGGCGAAUAGGUCGUUGGAGUAGACCCGAAGCCAAGUGAUCUAUCCCUGGCCAGGUUGAAUCCUGCGUAAUAGCAGGAGGAGGACCGAACCAUUUAGUGUUGCAAAACUACUGGAUGAGCUUGGGAUAGGGGUGAAAGGCUAAUCUAACUUGGUGAUAGCUGGUUCUCCCCGAAAUAGCUUUAGGGCUAGCCUGAUAGUUUGAAUUCGAGGGGUAGAGCACUGGAUAAUGUAGGACCUGCAACCCAGGUUCCGAAUUUAACCAAACUCCGAAUACUCGAAUGGACACUAUUGGAGUCAGUUUGUGCGGGAUAAGCUGCACAUGCAAAAGGGGAACAGCCCAGACCAUCGGUUAAGGUCCCAAAAUUGAAGUUAAGUGGAAAAGGACGUAUUAUUGCAAAGACAGCUAGGAGGUUAGCUUAGAAGCAGCUAUCCUUUAAAGAGUGCGUAACAGCUCACUAGUCAAGCGAUUUUGCGCCGAAAAUGUCCGGGGCUAAACUUCAUACCGAAACCAUGGCUGUCCCGAUGUAAGUCCGAAUUUGGACUAUCGGGACGGGGUAGGGGAGCGUUCUAUCAGCAAUGAAGAUAGACCGAGAGGACUAUUGGAGUUGAUGGAAGUGAGGAUGUCGGAAUAAGUAGCGAUAAUGGUUGUGAAAAUCAACCACGCCGAAAGCCCAAGGUUUCCUUGAGCAAUGUUCGUCAGCUCAGGGUUAGUCGGUCCUAAGCUGAGGCCGAAAGGCGUAAGCGAUGGAUAUCCGGUUAAUAUUCCGGAACCAUUCUGGAGUCGUUAGUCACUAACUUUGUGCGCAUUAGAGUAUGGUUAUCUCCGUGUUGAAUUACGGGGUUUAAUCCCGCCGUGAGGCGGGAGAAUACGACCCUCGAGAAAUCGGGGGGAAGUAACUGAAUCUGGUGCCAAGAAAAGCAAAGUUUAGGAGUCUCCGGGAUGACCGUACCGCAAACCAACACAGGUGGGUAGGGUGAAUAACCUAAGGCGCGCGAGUGAUUUGCCGCUAAGGAACUCGGCAAAAUUGCCCUGUAACUUCGGGAUAAAGGGUUCCCCCGAUUUAUCGGGGGAUUCAAUAAAGAGUCUCAUGCGACUGUUUAACAAAAACACAGGUCUCUGCUUAAAUCGUAAGAUGAUGUAUAGGGACUGACGCCUGCCCGGUGCUAGAAGGUCAAGAGGAGUUGUCAUCUCUGACGCAAGUUGGGGAGAAGCGAUGAAUUUAAGCCCUAGUAAACGGCGGCCGUAACUAUUGUUUGGACCACAGUAGUUGUAAAAUCUGGCUAUAUGCUGGAAAAUCCUGGUAUGCUAACAGUACUCCUGUUAAUGUUGAUAAGAACAGGACGUGACAAUCUGUUAGAUAGGGCUGCGUAUUCGCACGAAUAAGUGCGAAUGAGUUACGCAGGACGGCGAGAAGGUGAGCCGGCGGGACAAUCAGCAGGAAAGACCUGAAAUGAGGGCUCCAUGCGAACAGAAACAGGCUAUUACUUAGCAGGUUUUGCAGACGGAGAAGGAAGUUUUAAUAUUUCUUUCAGACCGAGGCAAGAUUAUAAGUUACCGUGGAAAAUCUCUCUCUGCUUUAACAUUUCCCAGAAGGAUAAAGUUAUUCUGUCGUUAUUCAAACGUUAUUUGGUUUGUGGAACAUUAAGGAGCAGACCCGAUGGUGUUUGGUAUUACGAAGUAAAUAACUUCAAUGCGAUAUGGGAAAAGGUAAUACCUUUCUUUAAGAAAUAUAGAUUCUUGUCCGCUAAGAAAAAACGUGACUUCUCAAAAUUUUGCCAGAUAGCAGAAAUGGUAAAAAAAGGGGAGCAUCUUAAAGAAGAUGGUAUCAGAAGAAUUGUUGAAAUAAGACGAGAGAUGAAUGACGGUGGUAAACGCAAGUAUAGCAAUACGGAGAUCCUAAGUAAAUUUCAGGAAUCCCCAGAGACUAUACGCCAGAUCCCGAUAACUCGGGAAUGAUAUAGUCCGGUCUCCGAUGAAAAUCGGAGUUAACAUAAACGAACGGUCCUAAGGUUAGUUUAAUGCUAGCCUGUUCCGGUAGUAAUAUCGGAAGUAAUAUUUAACUAUAUGCGGGGAACUCCCCAAAAAAUGUUUGAUACUAGUCUAUUCAUUUGAAUGGGACAGUAAAAAAUCAACAUACAUGAGGACAAUCCGCAGGGAAGGCAUAUUAUGGAUAAUAAUAUGAACCCUCAGAGACUACACGUU
Molecule: ribosomal RNA, 2951 nt
Filed under: Elusimicrobia bacterium CG1_02_37_114
Lineage: Bacteria; Pseudomonadati; Elusimicrobiota
Also listed under: 1 other name
Description: bacterial LSU rRNA
Rfam family: Bacterial large subunit ribosomal RNA (bases 5-2133)
Source: RNAcentral